Molecule: signal recognition particle RNA, 100 nt
Filed under: Chitinophagaceae bacterium
Lineage: Bacteria; Pseudomonadati; Bacteroidota; Chitinophagia; Chitinophagales; Chitinophagaceae
Also listed under: 1 other name
Description: signal recognition particle sRNA small type
Rfam family: Bacteroidales small SRP
About the family: The non-coding component of the signal recognition particle in Bacteroides
Source: RNAcentral
GGGCAAGGCUUAUACGACCAGCUCCUAUUGAACUCCCCCAGGGUCGGAAGGCAGCAAGGGUAGAUGGUUGUAGCGGUGCGAUGUAAGUAUCUUGCCCACU